RNAcentral lists this ribosomal RNA (252 nucleotides) under uncultured bacterium. RNAcentral describes it as "partial 16S ribosomal RNA". It matches the Rfam family "Bacterial small subunit ribosomal RNA", at positions 524 to 776 of the family's 1533-position model. The record is from RNAcentral.
UACGGAGGAUGCGAGCGUUAUCCGGAUUUAUUGGGUUUAAAGGGUGCGUAGGCGGGAUGCCAAGUCAGCGGUAAAAAUGCGGUGCUCAACGCCGUCGAGCCGUUGAAACUGGCGUUCUUGAGUGGGCGAGAAGUAUGCGGAAUGCGUGAUGUAGCGGUGAAAUGCAUAGAUAUCACACAGAACGCCGAUUGCGAAGGCAUCUCACGAAUCUGCGAUUGACGCUGAUGCACGAAAGCGUGGGUAUCAAACAGG